ACACGUAGGGGGCGAGCGUUGUCCGGAAUUACUGGGCGUAAAGGGCGCGUAGGCGGCGAUUUAAGUCUGAUGUGAAACCCCUGGGCUUAACCUAGGGCUUGCAUUAGAAACUGAAUGGCUUGAGGGCAGGAGAGGGAAGCGGAAUUCCCAGUGUAGCGGUGAAAUGCGUAGAUAUUGGGAGGAACACUAGUGGCGAAGGCGGCUUUCUGGACUGAACCUGACGCUGAGGCGCGAAAGCCAGGGUAGCGAACGGGAUUAGAUACCCCGGUAGUCCUGGCCGUAAACGAUGGAUACUAGGUGUGGGAGGUAUCGACCCCUUCCGUGCCGUAGCCAACGCAAUAAGUAUCCCGCCUGGGGAGUACGGCCGCAAGGCUGAA
RNAcentral lists this ribosomal RNA (377 nucleotides) under uncultured bacterium. RNAcentral's name for it is "bacterial SSU rRNA". It matches the Rfam family "Bacterial small subunit ribosomal RNA", at positions 523 to 898 of the family's 1533-position model. The record is from RNAcentral.